GACGAACGCUGGCGGCGUGCUUAACACAUGCAAGUCGAACGGAAAGGCCCCUUUGGGGGUACUCGAGUGGCGAACGGGUGAGUAACACGUGAGUAACCUGCCCUUGACUUCGGGAUAACUUCAGGAAACUGGGGCUAAUACCGGAUAGGAAUCCUUGCUGCAUGGUGGGGGUUGGAAAGCUUCGGCGGGUUUGGAUGGACGCGCGGCUUAUCAGCUUGUUGGUGGGGUAGUGGCUUACCAAGGCUUUGACGGGUAGCCGGCCUGGGAGGGCGACCGGCCACAUUGGGACUUAGAUACGGCCCAGACUCCUACGGGAGGCAGCAGUGGGGAAUAUUGCACAAUGGGCGGAAGCCUGAUGCAGCAACGCCGCGUGCGGGAUGACGGCCUUCGGGUUGUAAACCGCUUUCAGCAGGGGCGAAGCUUGUGGUGACGGUACCUGCAGAAGAAGCACCGGCUAACUACGUG
RNAcentral lists this ribosomal RNA (465 nucleotides) under uncultured bacterium. Its description in RNAcentral is "partial 16S ribosomal RNA". It matches the Rfam family "Bacterial small subunit ribosomal RNA", at positions 28 to 507 of the family's 1533-position model. The record is from RNAcentral.